CAAUAGCGUAUAUUAAAGUUGUUGCAGUUAAGAAGCUCGUAGUUGGAUUUCUGGUUGAAGCGACCGGUCGGGCGUUGAUUCGUCUGCACUGGAGUCGGUUUUGGCCAUCCUCUAGGAAAGUGCGUCUGGUAUUAAGUUAUCGGGCGUAUGAUCCUGGUCUUUUACUGUGAAAAAAUUAGAGUGUUUAAAGCAGGCCUUCGCCUUGAAUACAUUAGCAUGGAAUAAUAAGAUAGGACUUUGGUCUAUUUUGUUGGUUUGCAGACCGAAGUAAUGAUUAAUAGGGAUAGUUGGGGGUAUUUAUAUUCCGAUGUCAGAGGUGAAAUUCUUAGAUUUUCGGAAGAUAAACUUAUGCGAAAGCAUUUACCAAGGAUGUUUUCAUUA
RNAcentral lists this ribosomal RNA (381 nucleotides) under uncultured eukaryote. Its description in RNAcentral is "partial 18S ribosomal RNA". It matches the Rfam family "Eukaryotic small subunit ribosomal RNA", at positions 592 to 975 of the family's 1831-position model. The record is from RNAcentral.